AGAGAUGUCAAUUGGACACACUGUCCAUUGGUUACCGAUGUCCAAGCCCAUUUGGACUAACCAAAUUAGACCAAUAAAUAAAGCUGUCCAGUUGGUCGAAACCCAAUAAACUCCAAAUCCAAUGGGCUUAAACCAAAUGGACAUGGGCGGCCCAAUGGGUUUCCAAUGGAUAUUACUCUUUUUCGGCUCUCGUCUCUGCGACUCUCAUCUCUUCCCGUUCUCUCUCGAUGAAGUCGACUCACGGCGACUCUCCGUUCUCUCUCCCCUCAGCGUCUUAAUCCUCGACUCUCUCUCUCUCUCGGCGUCUCGAUCCGCCUCUCUCUCUCUCUCGGCGUCUCGAUCAUCUCUCUCUCUUUCUCGCGAGUCGCGACUCUCGAUCCGAUCUGCCUCUCUCGUAUGUCUCUUCUCUCUGUCUUAGCUCUAAGGUUCCAUUGUGCAUGUUGAUGAAUUUUCUCUUCUCUGAUUGUGUACAGCUUCUCAGUGACUCUCUCUCUCUCUCGGCGUCUCGAUCCGCCUCUCUCUCUCUCUCGGCGUCUCGAUCAUCUCUCUCUCUCGGCGUCUCGGUAUGAUGGGUUUCUCUGAUUUGUUUCUCUGAUGCGUUUGAUUCAGUUUAGUUUUGAUGGGUUUCUCUGCUUUGUUUGCGUUUGUAUUUAGAUGUGCAAAUCAUUUGUUUCAGCUGGUUAUGGUGUAACAUUAGCUUGCGUUUAGACACAUAUAGCUUGCGUUUUAAAUCAUUUGUUCCAGCUGGUUUUGAACGAGUUUUAAAUGACUUAAAUACACAUAUAGCUUGCGUUUGUAUAUAGUUUGAUGGGUUUCUCUGAUUUGUUUGAUGGGUUUCUCUAUAUAGCUUGCGUUUGUAUAUAGUUUGAUGGGUUUCUCUGAUUUGUUUGAUGGGUUUCUCUAUAUAGCUUGCGUUUGUAUAUAGUUUGAUGGGU
Molecule: long non-coding RNA, 935 nt
Filed under: Brassica rapa (field mustard)
Lineage: Eukaryota; Viridiplantae; Streptophyta; Magnoliopsida; Brassicales; Brassicaceae
Description: long non-coding RNA (BRAP_LNC005543)
Source: RNAcentral